UAACCAGGGACGUUGAGACGUUAACCGGAGACAUUGAGACACUAUCUGGAGACAUUGAGACAUUAAUCGGGAACGUUGAGACGUUAACCGGAGACGUUAACCGGAGACAUUGAGACGUUAACCGGGGACAUUGAGACGUUAACCGGGGACAUUGAGACGUUAGCCGGAGGCGUUAAGACGUUAACCGGGGACGUUGAGACGUUCGCCGGAGGCGUUAACUGG
Molecule: long non-coding RNA, 222 nt
Filed under: Oryzias sinensis (Chinese medaka)
Lineage: Eukaryota; Metazoa; Chordata; Actinopteri; Beloniformes; Adrianichthyidae
Description: lncRNA (ENSOSIG00000004981.1)
Source: RNAcentral